GGUCUCGUAGCUAAGCUGGUGGAGCCUGCGCAUACAAAGCGUAGACAACGUCCAUGCGUGGGUUCGAGUCCCACCGAGGCUC
Molecule: transfer RNA, 82 nt
Filed under: Echinostoma caproni
Lineage: Eukaryota; Metazoa; Platyhelminthes; Trematoda; Plagiorchiida; Echinostomatidae
Rfam family: tRNA
About the family: Transfer RNA (tRNA) molecules are approximately 80 nucleotides in length. Their secondary structure includes four short double-helical elements and three loops (D, anti-codon, and T loops). Further hydrogen bonds mediate the characteristic L-shaped molecular structure. tRNAs have two regions of fundamental functional importance: the anti-codon, which is responsible for specific mRNA codon recognition, and the 3' end, to which the tRNAs corresponding amino acid is attached (by aminoacyl-tRNA synthetases). tRNAs cope with the degeneracy of the genetic code in two manners: having more than one tRNA (with a specific anti-codon) for a particular amino acid; and 'wobble' base-pairing, i.e. permitting non-standard base-pairing at the 3rd anti-codon position.
Source: Rfam by way of RNAcentral